RNAcentral lists this ribosomal RNA (480 nucleotides) under uncultured bacterium. RNAcentral describes it as "partial 16S ribosomal RNA". It matches the Rfam family "Bacterial small subunit ribosomal RNA", at positions 30 to 507 of the family's 1533-position model. The record is from RNAcentral.
AUUGAACGCUGGCGGCAGGCCUAACACAUGCAAGUCGAGCGGAUGAAGGGAGCUUGCUCCUGGAUUCAGCGGCGGACGGGUGAGUAAUGCCUAGUAAUCUGCCUGGUAGUGGGGGAUAACGUCCGGAAACGGGCGCUAAUACCGCAUACGUCCUGAGGGAGCAAGUGGGGGAUCUUCGGACCUCACGCUAUCAGAUUAGCCUAGGUCGGAUUAGCUAGUUGGUGGGGUAAAGGCCUACCAAGGCGACGAUCCGUAACUGGUCUGAGAGGAUGAUCAGUCAGACUGGAAGUGAGACACGGUCCAGACUCCUACGGGAGGCAGCAGGGGGGAAUAUUGGACAAUGGGAGAAAGACUGAUCCAGCCAUGGCGUGUGAAGAAGGUCUUCGGAUUGUAAAGCACUUUAAGUUGGGAGGAAGGGCAGUAAGUUAAUACCUUGCUGUUUUGACGUUACCAACAGAAUAAGCACCGGCUAACUUCGUG